RNAcentral lists this ribosomal RNA (253 nucleotides) under uncultured Coprococcus sp. RNAcentral describes it as "partial 16S ribosomal RNA". It matches the Rfam family "Bacterial small subunit ribosomal RNA", at positions 524 to 776 of the family's 1533-position model. Lineage: Bacteria; Bacillati; Bacillota; Clostridia; Lachnospirales; Lachnospiraceae. The record is from RNAcentral.
UACGUAGGGGGCAAGCGUUAUCCGGAUUUACUGGGUGUAAAGGGAGCGUAGACGGUGAUGCAAGUCAGAAGUGAAAGCCCGGGGCUCAACUCCGGGACUGCUUUUGAAACUGUACAGCUUGAUUGCAGGAGAGGCAAGUGGAAUUCCUAGUGUAGCGGUGAAAUGCGUAGAUAUAUGGAAGAACACCAGUGGCGAAAGCGGCUUACUGGACUGUAACUGACGUUGAGGCUCGAAAGCGUGGGGAGCAAACAGG